Molecule: ribosomal RNA, 253 nt
Filed under: uncultured bacterium
Lineage: Bacteria
Description: partial 16S ribosomal RNA
Rfam family: Bacterial small subunit ribosomal RNA
Source: RNAcentral
UACGUAGGGGGCAAGCGUUGUCCGGAAUCAUUGGGCGUAAAGCGCGUGUAGGCGGCCAGGUAAGUCCGUUCUGAAAGCCCGGGGCUCAACCCCGGGAGGCGGAUGGAUACUGCUUGGCUCGAGUCCGGAAGAGGCGAGUGGAAUUCCCGGUGUAGCGGUGAAAUGCGCAGAUAUCAGGAGGAACACCGAUGGCGAAGGCAGGUCUCUGGGCCGAUACUGACGCUGAGGAGCGAAAGCGUGGGGAGCGAACAGG